UCUUGUUUUUUGGCCGAUUAUUAUUAUUAUUAUUAUUAUUAUUUUUAGAGAUAGAUAGGAUUCUAUCCGUUUUAUUUAUUUCAUUUAAAAAUAAACUUAGCUAGAAAUAUAAAUCAACUAACAUUCGAAUUUGGAUAUCGGGUACCAACCAUUAAAUUCUUUUGCCAUUUGCACUAGAAAUGAUCGGUAUGGCCGAUUAUUAUUAUUAUUAUUAUUAUUAUUAUUAUUAUUAUUAGAUUGCUGCUAUCGAUUGGAUCGGGAUGGAUCUCGUCUUUCAUUUGAAUGGUCCGAUGAAUGUCGCGAGAGACAUCUCUUUGUACGGAGACUGCACGAACUCAGUCUCGUUCACGGGUUGGUUUUGGGCUAAAAAUACAACAAUAACAUGCACCCGUAACACAGACCAACUAGAGAUGGGCACUCGGUAUAGACAAAAGGAUCUUAUUGCACCUAGGGCUGUUUGAUUGUAUGAAAUUAUAAUUAUACUGUUAUAAUUGUAUGCAAUAUAAAUUUGGUAUUUAGUUUGAUAUAUUUAAUUCCAAUUGUUGCAGUUGGAAUUGUAGGAGGAGGAGGUUUAACUUUAGCAGUUGGAACUACGUCCAAAUUGAUCGCAAUUCUAACUACAGCAGUUUGAAAGAAUAACUUUAAAACAAAAGAUAAGUUUAUCUUCUUAAUUAUUUUUUAAACAAAAAAUAUUUUUCUUUUUUAUAUUAGAGGUAAUCUUAUCAUCCUAUAUAUAAAAUGAUAAAAUUCUAAGAAUUAAUUUCUUAAUUGUAUGGAGUCAAACAAAUUAUUUGUAGUUGUGACGUUUUUUACUACAUCCAACCAAGCAUGAUGUAUAUAGUUACAGCUGCAUGCAUUUCUAAUUACACUGUAUUUAUAAUUAUAUAUAACCAAACGACCUCUUAGAGUAACCGGGUAAGCAGUUUGGUU
Molecule: long non-coding RNA, 930 nt
Filed under: Ananas comosus (pineapple)
Lineage: Eukaryota; Viridiplantae; Streptophyta; Magnoliopsida; Poales; Bromeliaceae
Description: long non-coding RNA (ACOM_LNC008215)
Source: RNAcentral